GCGGGUGUAGCUCAAUGGUAGAGCAGCAGCUUCCCAAGCUGAAUACGAGGGUUCGAUUCCCUUCACCCACU
RNAcentral lists this transfer RNA (71 nucleotides) under Rhizobium laguerreae. RNAcentral describes it as "tRNA-Gly". It matches the Rfam family "tRNA". Rfam says of the family: Transfer RNA (tRNA) molecules are approximately 80 nucleotides in length. Their secondary structure includes four short double-helical elements and three loops (D, anti-codon, and T loops). Further hydrogen bonds mediate the characteristic L-shaped molecular structure. tRNAs have two regions of fundamental functional importance: the anti-codon, which is responsible for specific mRNA codon recognition, and the 3' end, to which the tRNAs corresponding amino acid is attached (by aminoacyl-tRNA synthetases). tRNAs cope with the degeneracy of the genetic code in two manners: having more than one tRNA (with a specific anti-codon) for a particular amino acid; and 'wobble' base-pairing, i.e. permitting non-standard base-pairing at the 3rd anti-codon position. Lineage: Bacteria; Pseudomonadati; Pseudomonadota; Alphaproteobacteria; Hyphomicrobiales; Rhizobiaceae. The record is from RNAcentral.